This 465-nucleotide ribosomal RNA is filed under the name uncultured bacterium. Its description in RNAcentral is "partial 16S ribosomal RNA". It matches the Rfam family "Bacterial small subunit ribosomal RNA", at positions 28 to 507 of the family's 1533-position model. The record is from RNAcentral.
GACGAACGCUGGCGGCGUGCUUAACACAUGCAAGUCGAACGGAAAGGCCCUGCUUGCAGGGUACUCGAGUGGCGAACGGGUGAGUAACACGUGGGUGAUCUGCCCUGCACUUCGGGAUAAGCCUGGGAAACUGGGUCUAAUACCGGAUAGGAGCCAUUUUUAGUGUGAUGGUUGGAAAGUUUUUUCGGGGUAGGAUGAGCUCGCGGCCUAUCAGCUUGUUGGUGGGGUAAUGGCCUACCAAGGCGGCGACGGGUAGCCGGCCUGUGAGGGUGGACGGCCACACUGGGACUGAGAGACGGCCCAGACUCCGACGGGAGGCAGAAGGGGGGAAGAUUGCACAAGGGGCGCCAGCCUGAUGCAGCGACGCCGCGUGGGGGAUGACGGCCUUCGGGUUGUAAACUCCUUGCGCUAGGGACGAAGCUUUUUGUGACGGUACCUAGAUAAGAAGCACCGGCUAACUACGUG